CAGUUCCCUUGCUGGCUUCGACUGAAUGAUUCCCCUGUGAAGUCCCUUGUUUACUGUAUUUGUAAUUAGCCACCAAGAACUUGAGUAACCGGUUUCCGAGGAGAACAUAUAUCCUGAAUCAGUUCCUGGACAUUUGUUUGAGGUCUUGUAAGGGAAACUGAAGGGAAUUGUGUAUUGAACAGGAUGGCUUAGACCUGCUCAACUUCUGAGAAUUGAGGCAAAGUGGGCAAUCCAGAUGUAUCACUUGACUUUCUGACUACUGGAAGAAUUUCCCUUCAUUAUUGCACACCAGGGGUAUCCCACAGGCUCAUAAGUGAAAAGGACUUGCCUUGUCUCAGACGAGACUUUGGACUGUGAACUUUUGGGUUAAUGCUGAAAUGAGCUUUCUCCUCACCAACUCUUCAAAGAUCCAGUUGAUACAAAAUGCACAUGCUAAAAUAUGAUUCCCCAGUCCUGUCCAAGCUGAUGUGGUCUUCUCCAAGCCCCCAGUCCUGACCAAGCUGAAUCUCCUUUGUCACUCAUGGGGCAACAGGGACUUACCUGCCAGUGCAGGAGAAAGGAGAGAUCCUUUAGAACAGGAGCUAAGAUGCCAGGAGCUCACGCAAAAUGCUUGAAGAAAGGGGCUUAGCCAGAAACCGAACUGGGAGUUGAUGCCCAGUUUAGGAAGAGUUCAAAUCGAGGAGUCAGAAGCAGCAAAUUCUACAUCAGAUCCACAAAUUCUUAACUAGAAGAAUAAAAACAAGUCAAAUCAAGUUGGGCUCAAAAGGAAUAUAGGGGCAGAAGAGGUGAUGUGCAGAUGGGUGUGCCUGGCCAAAUGGUGGGGGUAGGCACAGGCAGCACACACCAUUGAUUUCUUUGCUUCCUUUUUUAAAGAUUUUAUUUUUAAGAGCAGUUUCAGGUUCAAAGCAAAGUUAGAAGUACCAAGAUUUUUUCCAUAUACCCCUGUCCCUACAUAUGCAUAGCCCCCUCAUUAUCAAAAUCCCCUAUCAGAGUGUAAUAAAUGACAAUGAACCUACGUUGGACGCAUCAUAAUCACGUAAAGUCCUGGUGUACAUUAGCUUUCACUCUUGGUGUUGUACAUUCUAUGAAUUCGGACAAAUGUGUAAUGGCAUGUGUCCACUGUUAUGGUAUCAUACAGAGCACUUUCACUGCCACAAAAAUUUUCUGCUCUCUGCCUAUAGUUGGGGAUCAGAAACCAAUACCCCAAAAUAUGGCAUUUUGACAUGCUGAACUGAAGAAGCUUUAAUGUCUCUCUGACCUUCCUUCUUCUGCCCCACCUUCUUUCCCAAAACCUAGGAUUAUCUUGUUCCCUUAUCUGCUUAAAGUCCGAACCUGCCAAAGAAGAAAACAAUGACCUCUGCACCCUUCCCUGAGUUUCCAUUAACUGAACCUAGAUUCCAGGAAGAAAGAUUGAAGUCUGUCAACACACCUGGACAGACUUUUAUCACAAACCAUUGUCCACUCUGCUAACCCAACAGAUUUUGUCCCAGACAACUGUAUUCUCUUCAAGCCCAUUGAAUUCUCCCUAGGAAUCAUGCAUUGCCCCUCAACAGAAUUCCUCUUGUCCCUACUCACAUAGUUUGCUUUGCCGGGAUCCUAAGAUUUCUUGGAAAACCUUAGGACCAGGAGGUAUUCUUGUGGACUCAUUCUGUUUUUCUGUAACCUCAAGAUGGUGUAUAAGCUUCUGCCCCCUAAUCGGGGGUUGGAGUAAUCACUGUGUCUCCUGUGUGAAAGUAAACACAUUUGUAUGCCCUUUUCCCAAUUAAUCUACCUUCUGUGAGUUGAUUUUUUAGCGAAACUUCAGAGGGCUCUUUGACUCCUACACUAUUUAUCCCUCCCCCUCCCUUCAGCCCCUAACAACCACUGAUCUUCUUACUGCCUCCACAGUUUUACCUUUUCCAGAAGGUCAUAUAGUUGAAAUAUUACAGUCCGUUACCUUUUCAGAUUAGCUUCUGUCACUUAGUAAUAUAUAUUUAAGAUUCCUCCAUGUCUUUUCAUGGCUUGAUAGUUCAUUUCUUUUCAGUAUUAAAUGAUAUUCCAUUGUUUGAUGUACCACAAUUUAUCCCUUACCUACUGAAGGAAUACCUGGUUGUUUCCAAGAUUUACCUGGCCACCUAUGGAAUACUGUAGUUUCCAAAACUGGCCAUAAGAUAUUUCCUACUAUUCUUGCAUAUUGCAGUUGCAUAAGAAUUGCGUCCUAAGAUUUUCCAGAAAUUUGGCACUUCUCCAUCAAGACAUGGAUUCUACUUCCUCUUCCCUUAAGUCUAGGCAGAUUUGUGACUGGUAACCACAGAGCAUGGUAGAAAUUACACGGAGUGAUUUCUGAGGUUAUAAAUGAUGAAGCUCAUCUACCUCACAGGAACAUAGGCAUUGAGUCCUGAGCCACCAAGCAAGUGUCCAACUACUCUGAAACUGCCAUGUGGUGAGGAAGCCCAAACUUGAUGUGAUUUCACCUCUUCUGCCCCUAUUCCUUUUGUGCCCAACUUGAUUUGACUUGCUUUUAUUUUUCUAGUUAAGUGAAAAGAUAGCAAGGGGAAGCACUGAAGCUGCAUCGUGAGCGAGAGAUGCCCAGCCACCAGGCAGCUGCUCCACCCACCUCACCCUCAGCCUACUUUCCUCCACCCUCAACCUUGUACUUUUGUUGCUCCAACCACUGUCUGGUUACAAUCAGAGGAGAGAUUCCAAGACAGUAGCACCCAGCUAAACCCUUCCUGAAUUCGCAACUCACAAAAGUUAUAAAAGACAAUAAAAUGACUGUUCUUUAAGUUAUAUGUUUUGAAGUGAAUUAUUAUUCAGCAACAAAUAACCCAUAACAUCAUCCUUUUUUCCUCACCUCCACUUCCCAGUUUUGCCUCCAGUCUGAGUACUUAAAGUUAGGCCUACAAAUCCAGUCCUUUCCCUUCAAAGGAAACUUAUUAUAAACUGAGGCAUCCAGAAAAAGGCUGUCAUGAGGUUUUAAUGUCAUUCUCUGCUCUCUUCAUU
RNAcentral lists this long non-coding RNA (2982 nucleotides) under Homo sapiens (human). RNAcentral's name for it is "HSALNT0199936". Lineage: Eukaryota; Metazoa; Chordata; Mammalia; Primates; Hominidae. The record is from RNAcentral.